UGAGGAAUAUUGCGCAAUGGAGGCAACUCUGACGCAGCCAUGCCGCGUGCAGGAAGAAGGCGCUACGCGUUGUAAACUGCUUUUAACCGGGAAGAAACCCCAGGACGUGUCCUGGGUUGACGGUACCGGAGGAAUAAGCACCGGCUAACUUCGUGCCAGCAGCCGCGGUAAUACGAAGGGUGCAAGCGUUAUCCGGAUUCAUUGGGUUUAAAGGGUGCGUAGGCGGGGUGGUAAGUCAGUGGUGAAAUCCUGCGGCUCAACCGUAGAAUUGCCAUUGAUACUGCCAUUCUUGAGUAGGCUCGACGUGGGCGGAAUGUGCCGUGUAGCGGUGAAAUGCUUAGAUAUGGCACAGAACACCGAUAGUGAAGACAGCUCACGAGGGCCAAACUGACGCUGAGGCACGAAAGCGUGGGGAUCGAACAGG
This 424-nucleotide ribosomal RNA is filed under the name uncultured bacterium. RNAcentral's name for it is "bacterial SSU rRNA". It matches the Rfam family "Bacterial small subunit ribosomal RNA", at positions 355 to 776 of the family's 1533-position model. The record is from RNAcentral.